This is a long non-coding RNA of Macrobrachium nipponense, 732 nucleotides long. RefSeq lists it as uncharacterized. The transcript is spliced from 3 exons. NCBI's taxonomy places the organism in Eukaryota, Metazoa, Arthropoda, Malacostraca, Decapoda, Palaemonidae. The record is from RefSeq and is a predicted model, not a curated record.
GGAGGAGGAAGGGAAGUCGGCCAUGAUGAUUUUAAACGGUUGACUCGUAACUAAGACGUGAAACCAAUAAAUUCUUCGGCUUCUGCUAUUGAUUUCUAGUUCAGCAUCAUUUCGGCUUCAUUUCUGACCUGGUCUUAUAUCUUGAUGCUGAUAUUUGGAUUGAAGACUGUGAUGGUGUCGUGGAAGGGAACAGUUAUGCCUUCAUUCAAAGUAUCCCCUGGAAUAGUGGAUCUGCCCCCUUCCCAGAACUGAGUGUGAUUUCUGACUAUGGGAGUGUUCACGUUUUUAGCGAUAGUCUCCCUUGGGCUAGUUGAUAUGCUCCUUUAGACUAGUAGAUAUGCCCCAGGACUAGUGGAUAUGCCCCAGGACUAGUGGAUAUGUAAUUAGAGAGAAGUGCCCAGCAUCAGAUUUCAACAGUACUUUGGAUGUUUUCAAGUGCUGAUUUCUAAUUUUUUUUUUUAAUCUAAUUUUUUUACCUUCCAAAUUUGACGAGACUACGAAAAUGGAUGUCAUUUCAGUGUCAAAAAGAUACACCACUAAAUUUACGUAUUCAAAAGUGUCAUAACACGCAACACAAAACCUACGAAUUCACGUGUGUCACAACAUCCAGCCCAAACAAUGAAUCUAAAAGUAUCACAACCUACAACACAAACUCUAUGAAUUCAAAAGUGUCACAACAUGCAACAUAAACCAUAUGCAUUCAAAAGUGUCACCUACGUAGGGGGGUGGCAC